UACAGAGGUCCCAAGCGUUACUGAGAAUCACUGGGUUUAAAGGGUGCGUAGGUGGUCCGUUAAGUCAGUUGUGAAAUCCCCGGGCUCAACUCGGGAACUGCUUCUGAUACUGGCGGACUUGAGGCCAGUAGGGGUCACUAGAACUGACGGUGAAGCGGUGAAAUGCGUAGAUAUCGUCAGGAAUGCCGGUGGUGAAGACGGGUGACUGGGCUGGUUCUGACACUGAGGCACGAAAGCGUGGGGAGCGAGCGGG
This 253-nucleotide ribosomal RNA is filed under the name uncultured bacterium. Its description in RNAcentral is "partial 16S ribosomal RNA". It matches the Rfam family "Bacterial small subunit ribosomal RNA", at positions 524 to 776 of the family's 1533-position model. The record is from RNAcentral.